GACGAACGCUGGCGGCGUGCUUAACACAUGCAAGUCGAACGGAAAGGCCCUGCUUUUGUGGGGUGCUCGAGUGGCGAACGGGUGAGUAACACGUGAGUAACCUGCCCUUGACUUUGGGAUAACUUCAGGAAACUGGGGCUAAUACCGGAUAGGAGCUCCUGCUGCAUGGUGUGGGUUGGAAAGUUUCGGCGGUUGGGGAUGGACUCGCGGCUUAUCAGCUUGUUGGUGGGGUAGCGGCUUACCAAGGCUUUGACGGGUAGCCGGCCUGAGAGGGUGACCGGCCACAUUGGGACUGAGAUACGGCCCAUACUCCUACGGGAGGCAGCAGUGGGGAAUAUUGCACAAUGGGCGGAAGCCUGAUGCAGCAACGCCGCGUGCGGGAUGACGGCCUUCGGGUUGUAAACCGCUUUCGCCUGUGACGAAGCGUGAGUGACGGUAAUGGGUAAAGAAGCACCGGCUAACUACGUG
Molecule: ribosomal RNA, 468 nt
Filed under: uncultured bacterium
Lineage: Bacteria
Description: partial 16S ribosomal RNA
Rfam family: Bacterial small subunit ribosomal RNA
Source: RNAcentral